AUGAUUUCAAAGUAUAAUUGAUUAUACAUGUUAGUACUUAUCUUUUGACAAACUAAAUGACUAUCUAUGGUUUAAACACUGAUUUUUCAAAGAUUAUGAAAUUAAUUGUUGGAAUAGUACUUAUUUUUGUUCACCAGACCGGUUGGUAGUAUGAUAUAGCGCUAUAGGAUUUGACACCCCAUUCCUGUUGUCAUGGAAUGUCUGAAACCAAUUUGUUGCUCCAUCCAAAUAGGGAUUGCCUUUGUGGUAUUUCUAUAGUCUCAAAGGUGUAUUUUGAUACACUAGGUCGGAAUGAAUUCUUAAAUCACAUUAUUUUUGUAUAUUAAGUUAUACUCCCAAAAGUAUAGUUUGAUAUGCUCUCAUAUGGGAUAUUGUACAAAAACCAACAUAUAUUUUUGACGAGUCGUAGUUUCGGCCAAAAUGCGUUUUCUCGCGUAUUUUGUAACCAAACUACUCUAGCGUAUUAA
This 467-nucleotide long non-coding RNA is filed under the name Helianthus annuus (common sunflower). Lineage: Eukaryota; Viridiplantae; Streptophyta; Magnoliopsida; Asterales; Asteraceae. The record is from RNAcentral.